UUUUUUUUUUUUUGAGACAGAGUUUCACUCUUGUUGUCCAGGCUGGAGUACAAUGGUGAAAUCUCAGCUCGCUGCAACCUCUGCCUCUUGGGUUCAAGCGAUUCUCCUGCCUCAGCCUCCCAAGUAGCUGGGAUUACAGGCAUGCACCAGCACGCCCAGCUAAUUUUAUAUUUUUAGUAAAGACAGGGUUUCACCAUGUUGGUCAGACUGGUCUUGAACUCCUGACCUCAGGUUAUUUGCUGACCUCGGCCUCCCAAAGUGCUGGGAUUAUAGGCAUGAGCCACCGCGCCCGGAGAUUUUUUCUUCUUCUUCUUUUGUAGAGACAGGUCACACUAUGUUGCCCAGGCUGGUCUCAAACUCCUGGGCUCAAGCAAUUCUCCUGCCUCAGCCUACCAAAGUGUUGAAAUUACAGACAUGAGCCACCGCGCCCGGCCUUACGUCUUAUCUCUUGUCACAUAGUGGCCCCUGCUCCACAGGAAGCAGGAGGAGUGUUUUUUCGGGAGUACCUUUCCUCCCCAUCCUGAAAACAAAUGUGAUUUUCCUCGUAAAGAAGUAGAGCAAGUGUGUGUGGAGCUGUUAACAUGCAAUGCCUGCCACAUAAAACAUGAUCCCCAUUUUGGUGAGGAAAUCACAGCCUGGAGAGGUGUGGUGAUUUACACAGCCUGGAUUCGAUUGCACUGAGCCUGCCCCACCCUCACCCUGCUCUGAUUCAGGGACCCUGGCCUGGCUCUCAUCUUUGGCGGUUGCUGUCGUCACAGCGCACUGGCCUUGCAUGAUGGAUGAACAGGCAACCUCAUUAAACACAAGCCCUUGUUGGUUUCCCAAAGCCCACAGGAGCCGCAAGGCCCGGGAUCUGGGAGCAGGGAGGCUGAACAGGGCCCCAUCUGUCCUGUUCCCUCCGGCUUUUGCUCAGACAGGCAUUUGUCUGCCAUGGCAAGAGGGCAGACUCAGACACUUCAUCUCUGGGCAAUUAGGGGGCUGCACGCAGAAAGAGUAAUGACUGGCCGGCGGGGAUUUAUCAGGGGCCAGCGUGGCUGGGCAAGGCUUGAGGUUUGACAUCCACCUCUCUUCCGAGGGGAAGGAGCCGGUUGGCAUCCCCGCCUGGCAGUGGAGCCUCGUUAGCUCUGCUUUCUACUGUCCCUUCCCCCUCCAACGCUCUGCUCCCUGCCCCACCUCCUUGUCUCUGCCCUGGAUCAGAGGCCAGGCACUAGCUGGAUGGUCACACCUGCCUCCUCCACGCUGCCCCCUUGAACCACUCUCCGCACUGGCUGCUCACAAGUCUGAUCACAUCACACACAUCCUCCCCACCUUUAAAUCCUUCCAUGGCUCCCUACUGCCCUAAUCAUAAGCAGCUGUUGUUUUUUGGUGGUCCUAGGUGACCAGCUUCCCCAGGGGCAAUUUCUCCCCUUUGGUUUGAUUUGUGUCAAAGAUGAGUCUUAGACACUGCCUGAUGCUUAAGUGGUUUUCCCUUUUUUUUUUUUUUUUUUUUUUUUAAAAGAGAUGGGAUCAUGCUAUGUUACCCAGGCUGGUCUUGAACUCCUGACCUCAACCCAUCUUCCUCCCUUGGCCUCCCAAAGUUCUGAGUUACAGGCACGAACCACUGUGCCCGGCCUCAAGUGAUUUAUUUUGGCUGUGCUAUUACGAGACAGACAUCAAUGACAUGGGCCAGAUACACUUAAGGGGUCAGAGGACCAGCUGACCAGGAGGGUCUCUGUGUAGAGACCAUCCUCAGAGUUUGGGGGAUCCUUCUCCCUUUCCUAGACCUAGGUUCAGUCUAGGUUCGUUGCCAGGUGUUUCUUUCAAAAAAGAAGUUCAAGCUAUUCUUGUAAGGGGAAGCUUUGUUUCAAGGUUUAUGAAAGUUGCAUCUGUGCUGGGGUGGUCUUGUUUCCUGGAAAUCCCCUGGCCAGGGUUGGAAAUCCUGGGGCCAGUCUGCAUUAACUGUUAAGUGACACCUGGUGUCCGGCCUGUGAGAUGCUUAAGUGGGUCCUAUGGCUCUUGUUAAUCUCAUAGUUGGCAG
Macaca fascicularis (crab-eating macaque) is the source of this 2017-nucleotide long non-coding RNA. NCBI's taxonomy places the organism in Eukaryota, Metazoa, Chordata, Mammalia, Primates, Cercopithecidae. The record is from Ensembl.